This 505-nucleotide long non-coding RNA is filed under the name Gouania willdenowi (blunt-snouted clingfish). Its description in RNAcentral is "lncRNA (ENSGWIG00000017310.1)". The record is from RNAcentral. Lineage: Eukaryota; Metazoa; Chordata; Actinopteri; Blenniiformes; Gobiesocidae.
CCUGAUUUCUGGCCAGGGCUCCUUAAUUGUGUCUCUGGGUAUAGUGGUCUUGGCACAGCAGCAGGAAGGGGAGCACCAAGGUGUGAUGUGAAUAAGACCACACACCACAGACAUUGCUGCACAUAUCUGCCAAGAGUCCUUCUACUUGGAUGUGUCAGGAGGCUAUCCCCAAACGCUGAUGUCACCAAGCCCACCUCACACCUAGCCGACAGGCUUCAGUACCCACUCAGCCUGACCGCAGUCUGGCCGGCUUCCUGUUUGACCAUCUUGGACAAACACUGAGAGACGGUCGGUAAACAUGGCGCAUCCACCUGUUAGUACAAUCAAAGCUCGAGGGCCGAACACAGAUGGGCACAGUUGGCAAUGUGGAAGCUUGGCCAUUCUAUGAGAGAAACCCCGCUGGCUGCACAAGGAGGGGGAGGAGGACUGGGGGGACUUGGAUGAUGUUUUCCUCGAUACUCGGCUGUAAUGCUGGCUUCUCCUUAGGCCUCCUGACUGAACAGAG